CCUACGGGCGGCAGCAGUGGGGAAUAUUGCACAAUGGGGGAAACCCUGAUGCAGCGACGCCGCGUGAGUGAAGAAGUAUUUCGGUAUGUAAAGCUCUAUCAGCAGGGAAGAAGAAAGACGGUACCUGACUCAGACGCCCCGGCUAACUACGUGCCAGCAGCCGCGGUACUACGGAGGGGGCAAGCGUUAUCCGGAUUUACUGGGUGUAAAGGGAGCGUAGCCGGCUGGGCAAGUCUGAAGUGAAAGCCCAGGGCUCAACCCUGGGACUGCUUUGGAAACUGUGGAGCUAGACUGCUGGAGAGGUAAGUGGAAUGCCUAGUGUAGCGGUGAAAUGCGUAGAUAUUAGGAGGAACACCAGUGGCGAAGGCGGCUUACUGGACAGUAACUGACGUUGAGGCUCGAAAGCGUGGGGAGCAAACAGGAUUAGAUACCCCGGUAGUC
Molecule: ribosomal RNA, 441 nt
Filed under: uncultured bacterium
Lineage: Bacteria
Description: partial 16S ribosomal RNA
Rfam family: Bacterial small subunit ribosomal RNA
Source: RNAcentral